RNAcentral lists this ribosomal RNA (253 nucleotides) under uncultured bacterium. Its description in RNAcentral is "partial 16S ribosomal RNA". It matches the Rfam family "Bacterial small subunit ribosomal RNA", at positions 524 to 776 of the family's 1533-position model. The record is from RNAcentral.
UACAGAGGUCUCAAGCGUUGUUCGGAUUCAUUGGGCGUAAAGGGUGUGUAGGUGGCGCAGUAAGUCGGGUGUGAAAUUUCGGAGCUUAACUCCGAAACUGCAUUCGAUACUGCGGUGCUUGAGGACUGGAGAGGAGACUGGAAUUCAUGGUGUAGCAGUGAAAUGCGUAGAUAUCCGGAGGAACACCGGUGGCGAAGGCGGCUUCCUGGACCGACACUGACGCUGAGGCGCGAAAGCUAGGGGAGCAAACGGG